UUUAUUAGAGGAUAAAUUAGGUGGAUUCUGAAUAUUAGAUUUCAAAGUAACAUGAGAUAUACCACUAGAAAAGGAAUCUCACAAAUAAAUCGAAGUUAAAUUAAACCGAGGGGUUGAAAAUUGAAAGUGAGAUAAUCCUGAGAAGCUGGUAAAGCAUAAGGUGACAAAGCAUACAUCUUUAUUCUUCUUAAAAUAUUUAACUGGAAUUAACAAACAAUUGCGAAAAAGACAAACAUUUAUUUUUAAAUUCUCUAAUAAUCAAACUCAAUAUGGUCGUUCUAAAAAUAAAUUGGAACAGCACAGAAAAGUGUUUUUAACUGUUCAUUUAGAAGUUAAUGUAAUAGAACGAAGUUCAAACUCUCUAAUGCUUAUCACAUUCGUGUUCCUUUGAAUUGUUACAACAAAGAAAUUGGGAAAAUGUAAAAAAAUAAAUCAAAUAAAUAAAAAGAAAGGAAAGUCGAAAAAAUUAACAAAGGGAAAGGAAAUGGAGAGCUUUAACUCAAAGAAAAACGAAGAUAUACCAACAAUAGGGUGAUAAACCAAAACCAAUGAUUGGAUUGUACAGAUGACAGACUAACCUAACCUGAAUAAUGGCAACGUAUAAAUACAAUGAAACAAAACACUAGAAAAUCGAGAAGAUCCUGUAAAUAAAGGCUAUAAAAAUAAUCACAGAGAUAAAAGAAAAGCCAAUCGGGAUAAAAAAAUGAAAUUAGUGAAAGGGAUGAAAGUAAAGAACUGCCACAAAAACAACAAGAAAGUUUUUUAUUGUCAUCUGUGAAGUUAUUGGAUUAUUUACUAGGGAUUAUAAUUAUAAUUCAGUGUUACCAAGUCCGAGAGAAGCAAGAAGAAGUGGCUAAAAGUUUACGACUAAAUAAGUCCCAUAUUUUUAAAAGACUAAAGCCAAUAUUAGUUCAAGGACCCUGAAAAGAUGGUUAAUGGAAUGGGGGUUCGUUUGACCCCAGAGCUAUGCUA
Molecule: long non-coding RNA, 972 nt
Organism: Aethina tumida (small hive beetle)
Lineage: Eukaryota; Metazoa; Arthropoda; Insecta; Coleoptera; Nitidulidae
Exons: 3
Source: RefSeq, a predicted model, not a curated record